Molecule: ribosomal RNA, 254 nt
Filed under: uncultured bacterium
Lineage: Bacteria
Description: partial 16S ribosomal RNA
Rfam family: Bacterial small subunit ribosomal RNA
Source: RNAcentral
GACGGAGGGUGCUAGCGUUGUUCGGAAUCACUGGGCGUAAAGGGCGCGUAGGCGGCCUUGCAAGUCGGUUGGUGAAAGCCCGGGGCUCAACCCCGGAGGUGCGGCCGAGACUGCAGGGCUGGAGGCCGGAAGAGGAGGGUGGAAUACCCAGUGUAGAGGUGAAAUUCGUAGAUAUUGGGUGGAGCACCGGUGGCGAAAGCGGCUCUCUGGUCCGGACCUGACGCUGAGGCGCGAAAGCGUGGGGAGCAAACAGG